RNAcentral lists this ribosomal RNA (326 nucleotides) under uncultured bacterium. RNAcentral's name for it is "bacterial SSU rRNA". It matches the Rfam family "Bacterial small subunit ribosomal RNA", at positions 32 to 337 of the family's 1533-position model. The record is from RNAcentral.
AAUCAACGCUGGCGGCGUGCCUCAGACAUGCAAGUCGAACGAGAAAGUCCCCUUCGGGGAGUAAGUAAAGUGGCGCACGGGUGAGUAACACGUAGGUAAUCUACCUUCGGGUGGGGAAGUAACCCAGGGAAACUUGGGCUAACACCGCAUAAUGCAGCGGCACCACAUGGUGACAGUUGUUAAAGCGGGGGAUCGCAAGACCUCGCGCCUAAAGAGGAGCCUGCGGCGGAUUAGCNGUUGGUGAGGUAAUGGCUCACCAAGGCAUCGAUCCGUAGCCGGCCUGAGAGGGCGGUCGGCCACACUGACACUGACAUACGGGUCAGACU